This 269-nucleotide ribosomal RNA is filed under the name uncultured Staphylococcus sp. RNAcentral describes it as "partial 16S ribosomal RNA". It matches the Rfam family "Bacterial small subunit ribosomal RNA", at positions 531 to 802 of the family's 1533-position model. Lineage: Bacteria; Bacillati; Bacillota; Bacilli; Caryophanales; Staphylococcaceae. The record is from RNAcentral.
GUUGCUAGCGUUAUCCGGAAUUAUUGGGCGUAAGCGCGCGUAUGCGGUUUUUUAAGUCUGAUGUGAAAGCCCACGGCUCAACCGUGGAGGGUCAUUGGAAACUGGAAAACUUGAGUGCAGAAGAGGAAAGUGGAAUUCCAUGUGUACGGUGAAAUGCGCAGAGAUAUGGAGGAACACCAGUGGCGAAGGCGACUUUCUGGUCUGUAACUGACGCUGAUGUGCGAAAGCGUGGGGAUCAAACAGGAUUAAUACCCUGGUAGUCAAGGGCG